This 92-nucleotide transfer RNA is filed under the name Ackermannviridae sp. RNAcentral describes it as "tRNA-OTHER". The record is from RNAcentral. Lineage: Duplodnaviria; Heunggongvirae; Uroviricota; Caudoviricetes; Pantevenvirales; Ackermannviridae.
UAUAAAAAAUAAUAUUGGAUUAGGAAACUAAUAGUAGUAUGAAAAUCCAUUGUCUUAAAGACGUCCGGGUUCGAAUCCCGGUAGGUGCACCA